This 94-nucleotide small RNA is filed under the name Aotus nancymaae (Ma's night monkey). RNAcentral's name for it is "Y RNA (ENSANAG00000001683.1)". The record is from RNAcentral. Lineage: Eukaryota; Metazoa; Chordata; Mammalia; Primates; Aotidae.
AGUUGGAUUGGCAGUGGUGUUUGCCACCAACUGAUCACCAGGUAGAUUUCCUUGUCCCUUCUCCACUCCCACUGCCUCACUUGAAUAGCCUGAA